CACCCUUAGCUCAGUUGGUAGAGCAACUGACUCUUAAUCAGUGGGUCUAGGGUUCGAAUCCCUAAGGGUGUA
This 72-nucleotide transfer RNA is filed under the name Hoylesella enoeca. RNAcentral describes it as "tRNA-Lys(ctt)". It matches the Rfam family "tRNA". From Rfam's summary of the family: Transfer RNA (tRNA) molecules are approximately 80 nucleotides in length. Their secondary structure includes four short double-helical elements and three loops (D, anti-codon, and T loops). The record is from RNAcentral. Lineage: Bacteria; Pseudomonadati; Bacteroidota; Bacteroidia; Bacteroidales; Prevotellaceae. RNAcentral also lists the same sequence under 3 other names.